AAGGGAGACCUAAUUCAGGUAGGAGACGAAAAAAUAGUAGUCCCAACCAAGAAUCAAUCCCAAAAGGUCGGAGCGAGGCGAAAUUGGCUUUCAAACUAGGUUCUGGGUUCAAACAAGACCUGAAUCAGGAACAAGGGCUAUUAGCUCAGGUGGUUAGAGCGCACCCCUGAUAAGGGUGAGGUCCCUGGUUCGAGUCCAGGAUGGCCCACCUGCACAGGUGGCAAAAACAAGAGAAACGAGGAAUCAGCACCUUAUCUUACUUACAUAGUAAGAGAGAAUGCUGGCUCUGAGUAAAGAGUCCAGAGGAACCUUGAAAACUGCAUAGAGCUAGGUGAAAAAGCCAAAAAAGAAGACCGCAA
RNAcentral lists this transfer RNA (359 nucleotides) under uncultured Microcystis sp. Its description in RNAcentral is "partial 16S-23S ribosomal RNA intergenic spacer". The stretch from base 135 to 208 matches the Rfam family "tRNA". The record is from RNAcentral. Lineage: Bacteria; Bacillati; Cyanobacteriota; Cyanophyceae; Chroococcales; Microcystaceae.